GUGAAAGUUUCCAAGGGCGCAUGGUGGAUGCCUUGGCAACAGGAGCCGAAGAAGGACGUGGGAAUCUGCGAUAAGCCUGGUGGAGUCGAUAACCGGACGUUGAGACCAGGAUUUCCGAAUGGGGAAACCCCGCACGACGUGUCGUGUGACCCCCGGUUGAACACAUAGACCGGGUGGAGGGAACGUGGGGAAGUGAAACAUCUCAGUACCCACAGGAAGAGAAAACAAAAGUGAUUCCGUUAGUAGUGGCGAGCGAACGCGGAUGGGGCUAAACCGUAUGUGUGUGAUACCCGGCAGGGGUUGCAUGUGCGGUGUUGUGGGCCCCUCCUUGUCAUGUCUGCCGGCAUGGCGCAGUGAGGUGCGGGCAUAUAGACGAACCAGUGUGGAUGCUGGACCGUAGAGGGUGAGAGUCCCGUAGUCGAAAUGUGUUCCGCCGCUGUUGGRGGGUUGCCCGAGUAGCACGGGGCCCGAGGAAUCCCGUGUGAAUCUGCCAGGACCACCUGGUAAGCCUGAAUACUACCUGUUGACCGAUAGCGGAUCAGUACCGUGAGGGAAUGGUGAAAAGUACCCCGGGAGGGGAGUGAAAUAGUACCUGAAACCAUGUGCCUACAAACCGUUGGAGCCUCCUUGUGGGGUGACAGCGUGCCUUUUGAAGAAUGAGCCUGCGAGUUAGUGAUACGUGGCGAGGACCGUUGGAGCCUCCUUGUGGGGUGACAGCGUGCCUUUUGAAGAAUGAGCCUGCGAGUUAGUGAUACGUGGCGAGG
RNAcentral lists this ribosomal RNA (764 nucleotides) under Streptococcus agalactiae. RNAcentral describes it as "bacterial LSU rRNA". It matches the Rfam family "Bacterial large subunit ribosomal RNA", at positions 1 to 647 of the family's 2925-position model. The record is from RNAcentral. Lineage: Bacteria; Bacillati; Bacillota; Bacilli; Lactobacillales; Streptococcaceae.